RNAcentral lists this ribosomal RNA (158 nucleotides) under Pseudocercospora macadamiae. Its description in RNAcentral is "partial 18S ribosomal RNA". It matches the Rfam family "Eukaryotic small subunit ribosomal RNA", at positions 1676 to 1831 of the family's 1831-position model. The record is from RNAcentral. Lineage: Eukaryota; Fungi; Ascomycota; Dothideomycetes; Mycosphaerellales; Mycosphaerellaceae.
UCGCUACUACCGAUUGAAUGGCUCAGUGAGGCCUUCGGACUGGCCCAGGGAGGUCGGCAACGACCACCCAGGGCCGGAAAGUUGGUCAAACUCGGUCAUUUAGAGGAAGUAAAAGUCGUAACAAGGUCUCCGUAGGUGAACCUGCGGAGGGAUCAUUA